ACGCAUGCCUUUUUCACACAUAUUGAAGCGGUUUGAUGAUCAAGAAUGACUUCCAUUGUUUACUUUAUUUAUUUCCAGGGCGACAAUUGAUGGUUACAUCAAUGUUUUCUUGUUAAAAUAAUACACAUGAUGUAUGACUGGCAUGAGUUCUUUUUUUAAGAAAUAAAUAACAAAUAGAUAACUCUGAAUAUUUUCCUUGCCAGGUUAGAUAUGAUUUUGUACAUAUUUAAUUUUAUUUACAUUUGCAUAAACAAGAUUUUAAACAUUAAUCAAUUCCUUGCUACCAGCUUCAGAAUUAAUUCAUGGAAAUGCAAAACCCAUAUAUGUAAAUGGCAGAUGUCUUUAUUUCGUACUAGAUGUAAACACUGAAUGAAAUAACGAACAGUGAUAAUCUUAAAAAAUACAGAUACAAAUGUAAACAAAUUCGUGAACAAGCUGUAAUUUUAACGAUGUCACACACAAAUAAUUCUUUCUAAACCGUUUUUCCUUACAAUAUCGAAACAAGCCCAAAAGCAACCAUUUUUAUUCAAAAAAUAAAUUCAUGGAGCUCUACUGCGGAAGUACCAAUGUACAUGGUACAGCGUGCAGCUUUUUAAAAUUUGAUUAAUCAAUUUCAACUGCACAAUGUGUAAAUAUUUGAUAAAACACAUUUUUAUGCCUCUGUCAUGCAGUAUAUUUUAAUAAAAUCAUAAUCAUUCUA
This is a long non-coding RNA of Saccostrea cuccullata (small rock oyster), 700 nucleotides long. RefSeq lists it as uncharacterized. The transcript is spliced from 2 exons. The record is from RefSeq and is a predicted model, not a curated record. Lineage: Eukaryota; Metazoa; Mollusca; Bivalvia; Ostreida; Ostreidae.